AACGAACGCUGGCGGCAGGCCUAACACAUGCAAGUCGAGCGAGACCUUCGGGUUUAGCGGCGGACGGGUGAGUAACGCGUGGGAAUAUGCCCUUCGGUUCGGAAUAGCCCCGGGAAACUGGGAGUAAUACCGGAUACGGUCUACGGACGAAAGAUUUAUCGCCGAAGGAUUAGCCCGCGUUGGAUUAGGUAGUUGGUGGGGGUAAUGGCCUACCAAGCCGACGAUCCAUAGCUGGUUUGAGAGGAUGAUCAGCCACACUGGGACUGAGACACGGCCCAGACUCCUACGGGAGGCAGCAGUGGGGAAUAUUGGGCAAUGGAGGAAACUCUGACCCAGCGACGCCGCGUGCGGGAUGAAGGCCUUCGGGUUGUAAACCGCUUUCAGCAGGGAGAAGCG
RNAcentral lists this ribosomal RNA (396 nucleotides) under uncultured bacterium. Its description in RNAcentral is "bacterial SSU rRNA". It matches the Rfam family "Bacterial small subunit ribosomal RNA", at positions 29 to 451 of the family's 1533-position model. The record is from RNAcentral.